Molecule: ribosomal RNA, 507 nt
Filed under: uncultured bacterium
Lineage: Bacteria
Description: partial 16S ribosomal RNA
Rfam family: Bacterial small subunit ribosomal RNA
Source: RNAcentral
GACGAACGCUGGCGGCGUGCCUAAUGCAUGCAAGUCGAACGCAUUUUCUUUCACCGUAGCUUGCUACACCGAAAGAAAAUGAGUGGCGAACGGGUGAGUAACACGUGGGUAACCUGCCCAUCAGCGGGGGAUAACACUUGGAAACAGGUGCUAAUACCGCAUAAUUCCAUUUACUGCAUGGUAGAUGGAUGAAAGGCGCUUUUGCGUCACUGAUGGAUGGACCCGCGGUGCAUUAGCUAGUUGGUGGGGUAACGGCCUACCAAGGCUGCGAUGCAUAGCCGACCUGAGAGGGUGAUCGGCCACACUGGGACUGAGACACGGCCCAGACUCCUACGGGAGGCAGCAGUAGGGAAUCUUCGGCAAUGGACGCAAGUCUGACCGAGCAACGCCGCGUGAGUGAAGAAGGUUUUCGGAUCGUAAAACUCUGUUGUUAGAAAAGAACAAGGAUGAGAGUGGAAAGUUCAUCCCUUGACGGUAUCUAACCAGAAAGCCACGGCUAACUACGUG